RNAcentral lists this ribosomal RNA (253 nucleotides) under uncultured bacterium. RNAcentral describes it as "partial 16S ribosomal RNA". It matches the Rfam family "Bacterial small subunit ribosomal RNA", at positions 524 to 776 of the family's 1533-position model. The record is from RNAcentral.
UACGGACUGUGCAAACGUUAUUCGGAAUCACUGGGCUUAAAGAGUCCGUAGGCGGCUUGUUAGGUGAGGUGUGAAAGCCCUCGGCCCAACCGAGGAAUUGCGCUUCAAACCGGCAAGCUAGAGGAGGAUAGAGGUGGGCGGAACUGAUGGUGGAGCGGUGAAAUGCGCAGAUAUCAGGAGGAACACCGAUGGCGAAGGCAGGUCUCUGGGCCGAUACUGACGCUGAGGAGCGAAAGCGUGGGGAGCGAACAGG